This 456-nucleotide ribosomal RNA is filed under the name uncultured Streptococcus sp. Its description in RNAcentral is "bacterial SSU rRNA". It matches the Rfam family "Bacterial small subunit ribosomal RNA", at positions 924 to 1382 of the family's 1533-position model. The record is from RNAcentral. Lineage: Bacteria; Bacillati; Bacillota; Bacilli; Lactobacillales; Streptococcaceae.
CACAAGCGGUGGAGCAUGUGGUUAAUUCGAAGCAACGCGAAGAACCUUACCAGGUCUUGACAUCCCGAUGCUAUUCUAGAGAUAGAAAGUUACUUCGGUACAUCGGUGACAGGUGGUGCAUGGUUGUCGUCAGCUCGUGUCGUGAGAUGUUGGGUUAAGUCCCGCAACGAGCGCAACCCCUAUCGUUAGUUGCCAUCAUUCAGUUGGGCACUCUAGCGAGACUGCCGGUAAUAAACCGGAGGAAGGUGGGGAUGACGUCAAAUCAUCAUGCCCCUUAUGACCUGGGCUACACACGUGCUACAAUGGUUGGUACAACGAGUUGCGAGUCGGUGACGGCGAGCUAAUCUCUUAAAGCCAAUCUCAGUUCGGAUUGUAGGCUGCAACUCGCCUACAUGAAGUCGGAAUCGCUAGUAAUCGCGGAUCAGCACGCCGCGGUCGAAUACGUUCCCGGGCCUU